RNAcentral lists this small RNA (75 nucleotides) under Thalassiosira oceanica CCMP1005. Its description in RNAcentral is "putative ffs-like RNA". The record is from RNAcentral. Lineage: Eukaryota; Bacillariophyta; Thalassiosirophyceae; Thalassiosirales; Thalassiosiraceae.
GGAUAUAAUUCUAUGAUCAAUCUAAAUAUGUCAGGAUUGUGAAAUAGCAGCAUAAGAUCAAAAAUAAAUUAGUAA